GAUGAACGCUGGCGGCGUGCCUCAAACAUGCAAGUCGAGCGGGGCUAUGUAAUAUCGCAAGGUAGAACAUAGCCUAGCGGCGAACGGGUGAGUAACACGUGGGUAACCUGCCUGGAAGACAGGGAUAACGAUUCGAAAGGGUCGCUAAUACCUGAUAAUAUCCUUUCAUCGCAUGGUGAUAGGAAGAAGGGGAAACCCGCUUUCAGAUGGGCCCGCGUCCCAUCAGCUAGUUGGUAAGGUAAAGGCUUACCAAGGCGACGACGGGUAGCCGGUCUGAGAGGAUGUACGGCCACACUGGGACUGAGAUACGGCCCAGACUCCUACGGGAGGCAGCAGUUGGGAAUCUUAGGCAAUGGACGAAAGUCCUGACCUAGCGACGCCGCGUGAGGGAAGAAGGCCUUCGGGUUGUAAACCUCUGUCAUGGGGAAGAAGUAAGUGACGGUACCCCAAGAGGAAGCCCCUGCCGUAACUACGUGC
This 477-nucleotide ribosomal RNA is filed under the name uncultured bacterium. RNAcentral describes it as "bacterial SSU rRNA". It matches the Rfam family "Bacterial small subunit ribosomal RNA", at positions 28 to 508 of the family's 1533-position model. The record is from RNAcentral.